UAUUUGUUUUGACUGAUUAACAUUUUGCAGUUCAAAUCUUAAGAUCAACUCAGCUUUGCCUUCCCUCAUUCUGGAGUUGAUCAAAUUAAGUACCUGGCAAUUACUAGUGAUGACAGAAUGAACUGUUUGCUCCUCCAUCAAAU
Octopus sinensis (East Asian common octopus) is the source of this 143-nucleotide long non-coding RNA. RefSeq lists it as uncharacterized. NCBI's taxonomy places the organism in Eukaryota, Metazoa, Mollusca, Cephalopoda, Octopoda, Octopodidae. The record is from RefSeq and is a predicted model, not a curated record. The transcript has 4 exons.